This 293-nucleotide ribosomal RNA is filed under the name uncultured Planctomycetota bacterium. RNAcentral's name for it is "uncultured planctomycete partial 16S ribosomal RNA". The record is from RNAcentral. Lineage: Bacteria; Pseudomonadati; Planctomycetota.
GGACUACAGGGGUAUCUAAUCCCGUUCGCUCCCCUGGCUUUCGCGUCUCAGCGUCAGAAAGGGUCCAGGCACUCGCUUUCGCCACGGGCGUUCCUUCCGAUCUCAACGCAUUUCACCGCUCCACCGGAAGUUCCAGUGCCCCCUACCCCCCUCAAGGCCGCUCGUAUCGGUGCCACUUCCCCGGUUGAGCCGGGGGAUUUCAACAGCCGACGUGACGGCCCGCCUACACGCGCUUUAAGCCCAGUGAUUCCGAAUAACGUUCGCACGGUUCGUCUUACCGCGGCUGCUGGCAC